UGGGUCAUUAGCUCAAUCGGAUAGAGCACCGCCCUUCUAAGGCGUAGGUUUCAGGUUCGAGUCCUGAAUGGCCUGU
This 76-nucleotide transfer RNA is filed under the name Chondrocystis sp. NIES-4102. Its description in RNAcentral is "tRNA-Arg". It matches the Rfam family "tRNA". Rfam says of the family: Transfer RNA (tRNA) molecules are approximately 80 nucleotides in length. Lineage: Bacteria; Bacillati; Cyanobacteriota; Cyanophyceae; Chroococcales; Chroococcaceae. The record is from RNAcentral.